UUGAACUCUUGAAGAGAAAUUCUUAUUCCUUGCCCAGUGCUCUAACCACUGGGCCACAACGCCCCAAGUAACUUAAUACCGCAGGAUUCUAGUAGUUGUAUGAGUUCCUUAAUAACAAUAUCAAUCCCAGAUUGCAACCCAUCCAUGGGUGUUCAUCCCCUAUGACUUCAUCCUUUUCUCCAUUCUAUUCUAUAUCAUAAAAUUAUAGCUAACGGUGGGACAGAAUAGUGUGCUGUCCAUUGGCUCCUCUCCAGUCUCAUAUAGAUGAUCAUUUUUGUAUUUGGAAUAACAUCUCUUUCUCCAUGUUUGCAUAAUUCAUGGUUGGUGAAUCAUUCAAAUGCACCACUCUGCUCGCUUUUACUUUUUGCCAACAGUUCUUCAAAGACUUCCAUGGGCUGUGACAUUUAAGUGUAUAUUGCCUAGUAUCAUUGGGAGAACAUCUUUUUUAGAAGAAGGAUUCAAGAGGCAGCAGGACCUAGUGGAGGAGAAUGGCUGUGGAGCUGGGAAGACAUCCGUUUGAAUGCUUCAUCUCACACUUGGCAGUUGUGUGUCCCAGAUCAAGCCGGAUUCUCCCAAACUGCUCCAGUCCAUCCUUAGUUACUCCUAGUCUGAGCCAGGUGAAUGUGCUUUGGUCAGGACUUUGUUAAUCACAACUUUCUUCCACCAGUGAAAUCACAGCUCUGGCCCCCAAAUAACAAAGAAAAGAUGGUGCCUUUCUUUCGGAGGAAAAUGGAAUUCAAUAAAAGAACAAUGAAAGUCAUGAGUCUGUAGAAUGAUCCAUAGUUAUAGAAUCAGCAAAAUAUUAGCUGCAAUUGGAAGCACCUUGUCAUCACCUAUAGGGAGAGAGUCUCUUUGCAACCUGGACUCCGUGAAGAUCUUCACAACAGCAUCAAUUGUGGUUUAUAUUUCAUUUUAUUUUGAUAACUCCAUGGAUCAUUGGAUAAAACCUUAGGUUCUAAUGGAGAGAAACAUAAUGGAGGAACUGAGAAGAGGCAAAGGGAGAAAAGGUAUCCACUCAUUGAAGAGUGGAGAUAUCUAGAGAGUGAAUCUUCUGGGACUGAUCGUUCACAGUUGGAACCCCUCUUGAGAAAGUGAUGGAGGGAAGCAGACACCAGUCAUGAAACCAGGACCUCAUGGAUGGAAGGAAACUGAAAUGUCCUUGAGCUGAAGGGAAGGGGGUAAAUGGAUUGGAUCGCCACUGAAAAUUUCCCCAUUGAUCGAAUGACUCAAAACAGCCAAGUGGCAUAUUGUCAGAUGCAUAAAGUACUGGAUCUAGAGUUGGGAUUUCACAUCUGUCCUCAGAUACCUUCUAGCUAUGUGAAGGAUGGAGAGUUGAUUGGAGAAUGGAAAAACUAGGAAUGGAAGGUCAUUCUGGAAUCAAGAUGCCCUGAAGGCAACUCUGGACUGGGCAACAUGCUGGCAAUGGAACCAUCAACAUCCUGUCAAUGUUCUUAGGACUACUUUGAGGUCAUAAGUUACAGACCGCAUGAUAUAAGAAGAGGCGUGACUCUAGCAUCAGAGAAUCUGUGUUUAAAUUCUGCUUCUGAUAUCUUUGUGAUCUUGGGCGGUCUGUUCUACCACAGACUUCUCAGAGGGCAGGCGAGAAUCAAGUAAAACUUCUUGGGGCAGGGGCCCAGCAGCACAGUGCCCAUGGAAAUUCUUAUAAUCAGUGAUUACAGGAGUGAGCACAAGAAACUCAGCUUUCAGAAUAUCCAAAAAGCUACUGGUUGCUAGAUGAACUUUUAAGAUUACGUAAGAAGAAGGUCCCUGAAAUUAGACUCUUGGCUAUGAUGACUCACUGAAGUGUAUCUCACUGGAGACAUGUAAAUUGAUCAUUAUCCUUCACCUUACACAAUCUGGCUUUCUCUGGGAUGUCUACUGUCUCUAUGGCAACAUUCUCAUAUAUAAGAAGGAGGAGGUAAGAGGAGAGCAGCUCCUGGCAGCAACUGGAAAGUCCUGCUCCUCACUGCUAUGGAAACCAAGAUACAGGACAGAAGAGGAGCUACGGCCAAAUAGAAAUGUUUUUAAAUUUAUGGAUAGGAGUUCAACUGUCAGACUGCUCAGAUAUUUAAAAGGAAAACACCUAGGAAAUUCUGACUCUCUGAGAUUUACUCAUGUUAUCAUGGUAAUGAUCAAAUAGAGAAGAAAAUGAGACUGAAAAGGAAGUCCUUGCAAAUGCUGGUGUCAUCCAAACUCCCCAAGGAUGCGUCUCUUAGUAGUCUGUGAUCAUUAUGGGCAAUGGGGAGGAAGUACCAAGACAUUGGGAAAUAUACGAGCUAGAAAAGGGUCGGGAUGGGCAUUAUAUAUAUUUCAGGAAAGAGGAAGGAGCUGGCAUAUGAGAUAUUUCAAGAAGAAUAGAAACAAUUUAACAGGGUAACACUGGCAAGAUAGGAUUGAGAGAGAACAUAGGCACCAGAUCACCCUACCUAUAUUUUCCUUCUUUUCUCUAAACCUCCCAAUUUUACAAUAUGGAGGAAUCUCUCCCCAAAAGAUCUCUUCCUCUAUUCAAUUAAGAUUCUCAGAGUUGCCUGAAGCUCAGAGAGAUUAAUAGUCUGGCUCAUAAUUACACAGUUACCAAGUAUUUUAACUCAGGUCUUCCUGAAUCCAGGUACAGCCGUCUCUCCCUCCUAUCUGGCUCCUUAGAAUGGUAUAAACCGAAGACUCUAUGAUGAUAAUUGAGAUUUAUAUAGUCCUUCAAAAAAUUGUAACAUUCUCUUUUAUUCAAACAGAAAAAUCCUUAAAUUAUAAAUUCCAACUUUUUCUUUUUUUCUCCUGUUCCUUUAUUUCCCUUGAGAACCCAAGCAAUUUUAUAUCAAUUAUACACAAGAAGUUAUGCAAACAAUAUGUCCAUAUGAGCCAUGUUGCUGAGAAAAGCAAGAAAUAUAAAGAAAAUGAAACCAUCUACUUCAAUCUGCAUCUUGGAUCUCUCUCUGGAUAUGGAUGGAAUUUUUUCCC
This is a long non-coding RNA of Sarcophilus harrisii (Tasmanian devil), 2955 nucleotides long. RefSeq lists it as uncharacterized. The record is from RefSeq and is a predicted model, not a curated record. The transcript is spliced from 9 exons. NCBI's taxonomy places the organism in Eukaryota, Metazoa, Chordata, Mammalia, Dasyuromorphia, Dasyuridae.